GUCCUAGCGUUAGCUCCCUGCAGCGCUAGUCCAUGAUGCUCUGUCUCAAAGAUUAAGCCAUGCCAUGUGUAAGAGUAUGAGAACUUAAUUCCAGACCUAUGUAGAAAUGCUGUCGACAUGGCUACAUUAAAUCUGAGUUAUUUAUGAUAUUGUUGGAAUGUGGUGAGCCUACUACUCCGGAUAACCGUAGUAAUUCUAGAGCUAAUACGCUGCAACAAACCUCUCCAGACAUUUCUUUGAAAGGGAUAAUGACCCAUUUUUAUUAGAAAAUAUACAGAGUCGACGCGCGGCUUAGUUGCCGUUGCUCGCUCGAUAGAUUCUUGAGUAACAUAUCGUUACGGAUUCGCACGGCCUUUAGACGUUCCCGGCACGGCAUCAUAUAUCAAAAUUAUACUUGCCCUACAACUGAAUCAACUUUCCGUCAUGGUGCGAAAUGAGGUGAGUCACCUACCAUGGUGGGCUGACGGCAGGGGUACGAGACAUAUAGCGGCUUCAGAUUCCAGCGAAGCUAAGGAGGUCCAUGCAGAAAGAAAACGGCUACCACCAUCCAAGGAACAGGCAGCCAGCCGCGCCGCAAAUUUACCCCAAUUCCUGACACGGGGCAGGUAGUGACAACUUAGAAAUAAACACAUACUAGUGUCGCAUCUGCAUACCGAGUCUGGUAAUUGGAAUGCAGCUACAAUCUACAAUCCUUAACGAGGCAGUCCUAUGGAGGGCAAGUCUGCGUGACCAGCAGUAGGUGCGGCGUUUGUACUCUGUAAUUCCAGCUCCAAUAGCGUUAUUUAAGUUGUUGCCCAUUGUUAUAAUAUAAGCUCGAUAGUGAAAUUGGACUUUUGGGAGAUGUUCCCGGCCUGCGUCCGCCACGCGUCGUGCACCGCGUUCGUUCUUCGCUACCUCCUCUUCUGCACCCGUCCUCCGCGAUGCCCGCUUCCAUGCGCUUAAUGGCCGGUUUGGUCAUCGUUGCUACAGCCGCCGGGCGCUGUUACUUCGAUGAAAAUUAGAAAGGUGCUCAAAAGACGAAAGCCUCUUACGUGCCUUCCUGCCUCAUACCAUUAGUCUAAUGUUUGGAAUGGGAUAACAUUUAUAGGAUUUCGCGUCCUAAUUAACGUUUGGCGCCUUCGGCGCAUCGGGAUAAUGAUUGAACAGGGCAGUCGGGGUCGGCAUUCGCUCAUUUUCAUAGUCAGAGGCUGACAAUUCUUGGUAAUUUUAUGAACGCAAACAACAACGUGUCCGAUAACAGCAUUUGCCAAGGAUGUUUUCAUUACAUCCAAGAACGAAAAGUUGGCGGCGCUCGAAGACGAUCAGAUCACCGCCCUUCCUAGCUCUCAACCAUAAACGAUGCGACCACGGGCAUCGGUCGAAUGAGUUGGCUGUUUUAGGACCCCUCGGCCAUCCUUAUGAAAAUCGUCAAAGUCUUUUGCUCGCUGGCUUCCAUGGGUUGGCCGAGCUAUU
Molecule: non-coding RNA, 1452 nt
Filed under: Ipomoea nil (Japanese morning glory)
Lineage: Eukaryota; Viridiplantae; Streptophyta; Magnoliopsida; Solanales; Convolvulaceae
Description: Eukaryotic small subunit ribosomal RNA
Rfam family: Eukaryotic small subunit ribosomal RNA
Source: Rfam by way of RNAcentral